ACGGGAGGCAGCAGUGAGGAAUCUUCCACAAUGGGCGAAAGCCUGAUGGAGCAACGCCGCGUGCAGGAUGAAGGCCUUCGGGUUGUAAACUGCUUUUAUAAGUGAGGAAUAUGACGGUAGCUUAUGAAUAAGGAUCGGCUAACUACGUGCCAGCAGCCGCGGUCAUACGUAGGAUCCGAGCGUUAUCCGGAGUGACUGGGCGUAAAGAGUUGCGUAGGCGGUUUGUUAAGUGAAUAGUGAAAUCUGGUGGCUCAACCAUACAGGCUAUUAUUCAAACUGGCAAACUCGAGAGUGGUAGAGGUCACUGGAAUUUCUUGUGUAGGAGUGAAAUCCGUAGAUAUAAGAAGGAACACCGAUGGCGUAGGCAGGUGACUGGACCAUUUCUGACGCUAAGGCACGAAAGCGUGGGGAGCGAACCGGAUUAGAUACCCGGGUAGUCCACGCCGUAAACGAUGGAUACUGGCUGUUGGAGGUAUCGACCCCUUCAGUAGCGAAGCUAACGCGUUAAGUAUCCCGCCUGUGGAGUACGGUCGCAAGACUAAAA
Molecule: ribosomal RNA, 544 nt
Filed under: uncultured bacterium
Lineage: Bacteria
Description: bacterial SSU rRNA
Rfam family: Bacterial small subunit ribosomal RNA
Source: RNAcentral